This 253-nucleotide ribosomal RNA is filed under the name uncultured bacterium. RNAcentral describes it as "partial 16S ribosomal RNA". It matches the Rfam family "Bacterial small subunit ribosomal RNA", at positions 524 to 776 of the family's 1533-position model. The record is from RNAcentral.
UACGUAGGGGGCAAGCGUUGUCCGGAAUCAUUGGGCGUAAAGAGCGUGUAGGCUGCCAGAUAAGUCCGCUGUGAAAACUCGAGGCUCAACUUCGAGCUGUCGGUGGAAACUAUUUGGCUAGAGUCCGGAAGAGGAGAGUGGAAUUCCUGGCGUAGCGGUGAAAUGCGCAGAUAUCAGGAAGAACACCCGUGGCGAAGGCGGCUCUCUGGUACGGAACUGACGCUGAGACGCGAAAGCGUGGGGAGCAAACAGG